CGGUUAGCGGCGGACGGGUGAGUAACACGUAGGCAACCUGCCUGUAAGAUCGGGAUAACUAUCGGAAACGAUAGCUAAGACCGGAUAGCUGGUCUUCUCGCAUGAGGGGAUCAUGAAACACGGGGCAACCUGUGGCUUACGGAUGGGCCUGCGGCGCAUUAUCUAGUUGGUAGGGUAACGGCCUACCAAGGCGACGAUGCGUACCCCACCUGAUAGGGUGAUCGGCCACACUGGGACUGACACACGGCCCAAACUCCUACGGGAGGCAGCACUAGGGAAUCUUCCGCAAUGGACGCAAGUCUGACGGAGCAACGCCGCGUGAGUGAUGAAGGUUUUCGGAUCGUAAAGCUCUGUUGCCAGGGAAGAACGCCUGAGAGAGUAACUGCUCUAAUGGUGACGGUACCUGAGAAGAAAGCCCCGGCUAACUACCUGCCAACAGCCGCGGUAAUACGUACGGGGCAAGCGUUGUCCGGAAUUAUUGGGCGUAAAGCGCGCGCAGGCGGUCAUUUAAGUUUGGUGUUUAAUCCCGGGGCUCAACCCCGGAUCGCACUGAAAACUGGGUGACUUGAGUGCGGAAGAGGAAAGUGGAAUUCCACGUGUAGCGGUGAAAUGCGUAGAGAUGUGGAGGAACACCAGUGGCA
Molecule: ribosomal RNA, 641 nt
Filed under: bacterium PXY09B-6
Lineage: Bacteria
Description: bacterial SSU rRNA
Rfam family: Bacterial small subunit ribosomal RNA
Source: RNAcentral